CCUACGGGGGGCUGCAGUGGGGAAUAUUGGACAAUGGGCGCAAGCCUGAUCCAGCAAUACCGCGUGAAUGAUGAAGGUCUUCGGAUUGUAAAGUUCUUUUAGUAGGGAAGAUAAUGACGGUACCUACAGAAAAAGCACCGGCUAACUUCGUGCCAGCAGCCGCGGUAAUACGAAGGGUGCUAGCGUUGUUCGGAAUCAUUGGGCGUAAAGCGUAUGUAGGCGGUUUGGUAAGUCGGUUGUGAAAUCCCCAGGCUCAACUUGGGAAUUGCAAUCGAAACUGCCUUGCUUGAAUUUGGUGGGGGAUAGUGGAAUUCUUAGUGUAGGGGUGAAAUCCGUAGAUAUUAAGAGGAACACCGGAGGCGAAAGCGACUAUCUACACCAACAUUGACGCUGAGAUACGAAAGCGUGGGGAGCAAACAGGAUUAGAUACCCUUGUAGUC
Molecule: ribosomal RNA, 440 nt
Filed under: uncultured bacterium
Lineage: Bacteria
Description: bacterial SSU rRNA
Rfam family: Bacterial small subunit ribosomal RNA
Source: RNAcentral